AAACCAUGCAUCGAGCAUUUUCUAGGUAACUCCUUAAAUCGCUCUCAUACUUCAUAUAAUGUUUCACUCUCAGAUUGCCCAAAGGACGUAAUAUCAUUCCUCAAUUU
RNAcentral lists this small nucleolar RNA (107 nucleotides) under Gossypium hirsutum (cotton). RNAcentral's name for it is "Plant small nucleolar RNA R71". It matches the Rfam family "Plant small nucleolar RNA R71". Rfam says of the family: R71 is a member of the C/D box family of snoRNAs containing the C (UGAUGA) and D (CUGA) box motifs. The record is from Rfam by way of RNAcentral. Lineage: Eukaryota; Viridiplantae; Streptophyta; Magnoliopsida; Malvales; Malvaceae.